RNAcentral lists this ribosomal RNA (468 nucleotides) under uncultured bacterium. RNAcentral's name for it is "partial 16S ribosomal RNA". It matches the Rfam family "Bacterial small subunit ribosomal RNA", at positions 28 to 507 of the family's 1533-position model. The record is from RNAcentral.
GACGAACGCUGGCGGCGUGCUUAACACAUGCAAGUCGAACGGAAAGGCCCUGCUUUUGUGGGGUGCUCGAGUGGCGAACGGGUGAGUAACACGUGAGUAACCUGCCCUUGACUUUGGGAUAACUUCAGGAAACUGGGGCUAAUACCGGAUAGGAGCUCCUGCUGCAUGGUGGGGGUUGGAAAGUUUCGGCGGUUGGGGAUGGACUCGCGGCUUAUCAGCUUGUUGGUGGGGUAGUGGCUUACCAAGGCUUUGACGGGUAGCCGGCCUGAGAGGGUGACCGGCCAUAUUGGGACAGAGAUACGGCCCAGACUCCUACGGGAGGCAGCAGUGGGGAAUAUUGCACGAUGGGCGGAAGCCUGAUGCAGCAACGCCGCGUGCGGGAUGACGGCCUUCGGGUUGUAAACCGCUUUCGCCUGUGACGAAGCGUGAGUGACGGUAAUGGGUAAAGAAGCACCGGCUAACUACGUG